RNAcentral lists this long non-coding RNA (305 nucleotides) under Physcomitrium patens. RNAcentral describes it as "long non-coding RNA (PPAT_LNC002146)". The record is from RNAcentral. Lineage: Eukaryota; Viridiplantae; Streptophyta; Bryopsida; Funariales; Funariaceae.
CAUUUUGAAACUGAUUGGCAUAUUACUACAUAGAAAAUAGAAAUUUGAUACAAUUAGCUUAGUUUACACUAACAUGCAAGAACAACCCACGGAUAUGUUAACUAAAUUGCUAGGAAGAACAAAGUUUGAGCUUGAUCAGAACAGACUCAAUCUAAGAGCUCUCAAACAAAGUCUUUUGUUGCUGCCUUUGUUCUGAACAACUUAAAAUCUGCUUUCUUGUACUCCUUCACCUCCCUUUCACAAUCUGACCAACUCAAAUACACCAUGAGUGUGUAUCCACGCUGGACUGCAUAAUACUUCACCAA